AGAGGUUUGAUUCUGGCUCAGGAUGAACGCUAGCUACAGGCUUAACACAUGCAAGUCGAGGGGCAGCAUUGGGGUAGCAAUACUCAGAUGGCGACCGGCGCACGGGUGAGUAACACGUAUCCAACCUGCCGCUUACUCGGGGAUAGCCUUUCGAAAGAAAGAUUAAUACCCGAUGGUAUAAAGAGUUCGCAUGUUCUCUUUAUUAAAGAAUUUCGGUAAGCGAUGGGGAUGCGUUCCAUUAGAUAGUUGGCGGGGUAACGGCCCACCAAGUCUACGAUGGAUAGGGGUUCUGAGAGGAAGGUCCCCCACAUUGGAACUGAGACACGGUCCAAACUCCUACGGGAGGCAGCAGUGAGGAAUAUUGGUCAAUGGACGAGAGUCUGAACCAGCCAAGUAGCGUGAAGGAUGACUGCCCUAUGGGUUGUAAACUUCUUUUAUAAGGGAAUAAAGUGAGGGACGUGUCCCUUUUUGUAUGUACCUUAUGAAUAAGGAUCGGCUAACUCCGUGCCAGCAGCGGC
RNAcentral lists this ribosomal RNA (518 nucleotides) under uncultured bacterium. RNAcentral describes it as "bacterial SSU rRNA". It matches the Rfam family "Bacterial small subunit ribosomal RNA", at positions 1 to 518 of the family's 1533-position model. The record is from RNAcentral.